AAUCGGUGACUCCCGCCGAAAAUUUUCCGCGUCGAGUCUCGGGAUGCUUUCUCGGGUUCGUCGCACGUAUAUGGAUCGCUGCCAAACUCGGCACGUUCGCUCCACUCCUUCUUACCUUUAUCUCGAACGGAAAGCCGGCAGCGGGAGGACGUGACCGUGAAUUCUAAAGAGCACCAGGGACCAAGGACGCAUCUGUGGUGUUCAAGUGAUUCGCAAAGAGAGCAACGGGCACGACAUCGUGUCAGGGCCAUGAUCAGCCGGAGGCCGACCAAUUGGAAACUGGGACUCGCGGAUUUCACGAGUGUUUCCCCGCUAUAAGUAUUAGUCCUUUAUGCCAUAAGACCUCGUUGAGCGCGGGGGCUACGCUCCAAAGAAACCGAGCGCUAAAUGAAACGACGUUAAACGAGGUCAUCCUGACGCGUAAAUAAUGGAGAUAGCUGAAACAGGAUGGUUCUAUAUGUCUGGAUUUAAUGGUGUUUAUAGAUUAAAGUUAGUUGAUGUGUGUCCUUAAAAAUGUUCAACUUGAAGUGCUUGUUUUAUUGGACUUUAUUUUAUAGCAUUUGUUAAAAAUACUUAAAAAUAUGAAGUCUGUCUUUGAGGUUUUCAUUUUUUUUCAAUUUAAAACAUUUGUAAUCAUACAGAAAUAUUGUAUGUUGCGUGACCAGGUCGUGUGUAUUGUUUCUUCAAAUUGUAUUUUCGUGAGAUCUCGUAUCACUUUAUAUUUGACUAUGAAAACAUGGUCUGACUCAUUUGGUUUUCCUAAUAAGAUUGCGACGCUACCUGAGAAUGUUAUAUGUAUAACUGUCUCUGCAGCAUAUUUCUUUCAAUUUUUUGCGUUACGAAUGUAUAUGCUAAUAGAAUUAAUUUAGAGUAUUACAUACUAUUUCACGAUAAUCUCAUUACCAUUAGUGGUCAAUUUGUUUUUUCAUUAGUAUUACACAUACCUUUA
Molecule: non-coding RNA, 949 nt
Organism: Nomia melanderi (Alkali bee)
Lineage: Eukaryota; Metazoa; Arthropoda; Insecta; Hymenoptera; Halictidae
Source: RefSeq, a predicted model, not a curated record